This 446-nucleotide ribosomal RNA is filed under the name uncultured bacterium. Its description in RNAcentral is "bacterial SSU rRNA". It matches the Rfam family "Bacterial small subunit ribosomal RNA", at positions 330 to 793 of the family's 1533-position model. The record is from RNAcentral.
CCCAGACUCCUACGGGAGGCAGCAGUGGGGAAUAUUGCACAAUGGGGGAAACCCUGAUGCAGCGACGCCGCGUGGGUGAAGAAGUAUUUCGGUAUGUAAAGCUCUAUCAGCAGGGAAGAAAAUGACGGUACCUGACUAAGAAGCCCCGGCUAACUACGUGCCAGCAGCCGCGGUAAUACGUAGGGGGCAAGCGUUAUCCGGAUUUACUGGGUGUAAAGGGAGCGUAGACGGCCAUGCAAGCCAGGGGUGAAGGCCCGGGGCCCAACCCCGGGACUGCCCUUGGAACUGUGCGGCUAGAGUGCGGGAGGGGCAGGCGGAAUUCCUGGUGUAGCGGUGAAAUGCGUAGAUAUUAGGAAGAACACCAGUGGCGAAGGCGGCUUUCUGGACUGAAACUGACGCUGAGGCACGAAAGCGUGGGGAGCGAACAGGAUUAGAUACCCCGGUAA